RNAcentral lists this ribosomal RNA (254 nucleotides) under uncultured bacterium. RNAcentral describes it as "partial 16S ribosomal RNA". It matches the Rfam family "Bacterial small subunit ribosomal RNA", at positions 524 to 776 of the family's 1533-position model. The record is from RNAcentral.
CACGUAGGGUGCGAGCGUUGUCCGGAAUUAUUGGGCGUAAAGAGCUCGUAGGCGGUGUGUCGCGUCGGCCGUGAAAACUUGCAGCUUAACUGUGGGCGCGCGGUCGAUACGGGCAUCACUGGAGUUCGGCAGGGGAGACUGGAAUUCCUGGUGUAGCGGUGAAAUGCGCAGAUAUCAGGAGGAACACCGGUGGCGAAGGCGGGUCUCUGGGCCGAUACUGACGCUGAGGAGCGAAAGCGUGGGGAGCGAACAGG